This 265-nucleotide long non-coding RNA is filed under the name Elaeis guineensis (African oil palm). Its description in RNAcentral is "long non-coding RNA (EGUI_LNC016631)". The record is from RNAcentral. Lineage: Eukaryota; Viridiplantae; Streptophyta; Magnoliopsida; Arecales; Arecaceae.
AGAAUGUAUAAAUUUUAUAAAAUAUAUAAUCUAUAAAUUUUAAUUGAUAAACUUUAAGAGUUUCAAUAAAAUUUACAAGUAUUAUGAUACAUGAUACAUUAUAUGCAGUUUCACUAAGAAGUAUAAGGAUUAUAUAUACAUCAAAUUAGUCUAAAAAAAUUUGUAAUAUGCUAAAAAUUUUGAAAAAAACAUACGAAAUUUUGUCUGCAUCUUGUUUAUAUCAUGCGUAGCUCUUGGACCCCGAUGUAUGAGGAAUAGAUAGAGC